Molecule: ribosomal RNA, 301 nt
Filed under: uncultured bacterium
Lineage: Bacteria
Description: partial 16S ribosomal RNA
Rfam family: Bacterial small subunit ribosomal RNA
Source: RNAcentral
CAGCAGCCACGGGAAUACGGAGGGAGCUAGCGUUGUUCGGAAUUACUGGGCGUAAAGCGCGCGUAGGCGGUUACUCAAGUCAGAGGUGAAAGCCCGGGGCUCAACCCCGGAACUGCCUUUGAAACUAGGUGACUAGAAUCUUGGAGAGGUCAGUGGAAUUCCGAGUGUAGAGGUGAAAUUCGUAGAUAUUCGGAAGAACACCAGUGGCGAAGGCGACUGACUGGACAAGUAUUGACGCUGAGGUGCGAAAGCGUGGGGAGCAAACAGGAUUAGAGACCCGCGUAGUCCCUGUCUCUUAUAC